Homo sapiens (human) is the source of this 2014-nucleotide long non-coding RNA. Ensembl annotates it as ankyrin repeat domain 36B pseudogene 2. Its record names the gene ANKRD36BP2. The record is from Ensembl. NCBI's taxonomy places the organism in Eukaryota, Metazoa, Chordata, Mammalia, Primates, Hominidae.
GUUGGGCGUUUCUGCUGAGAGGCGGGAGGGGCUGAGAGUCUGUGCGAAGGUAGGUGGACAGACUGCAUUGCUUGUUGUUGCGCUUCGGAGGCGGCGAUCCCCGAAGGCGAGCUGAAAUACGGCUGGAGCGUUCCCAGGCUACAGUUUGUAGCCGACGAUUGUGGAAGACUAGGAGCCGGAGAGGUGGCCCACCCUCAGGGAGCGCUUGUGCUCGGAGGGCUUCUCAUUUCCCCAAUACCACAUUAAAUCGUCUCAUCUGAGGAGGAUCCACAGAGCUGUCUUCUAUGGUAAUCUGGAGAAACUGGAGUACCUUCUGCUCACGUAUCAUGACACCAAUGAGAGAGACAAGGAGGAAAGCAUCCGGUGAAAGACAGAGAUCACAUUUCAACUAGAUUCUUAGGAAGUAUGGAUUCACUAACUUCAGCGAAGCUUACCCUGAAAGAAGCAGAUCCCAGUUCAAAAGUAGCCAUAAGAAGGAAGGAUUCACCACCUCCAGGAAAAGUGUCUUCUCAGAAACAACCAGCUGAGAAGGCUGCAAGUGACGAGAAAGAUUCUGUUUCGAAUAUAGCCACAGAAAUAAAGGAGGGACCAAUAUCUGGGACAGUGUCUUCUCAGAAACAACCAGCUGAGAAGGCUGCAAGUGACGAGAAAGAUUCUGUUUCAAAUAUAGCCACAGAAAUAAAGGAUGGACAACAAUCUGGGAGACAUAAUUUUGCAAAGCAGAUUUAAUGUCAUGUUCAGCCAAGAUAGACAAGAACUUCUCUUCCCCGAAUAAAUCAGCGGGGGACUCUUUGAAGCUGCACAUUCUGAUUCAGCAGGCCUGAGAUUCUACAUUUGUAUGUCUUCUCAGAAACAAUCGGCCUGGAAGGUUAUAUUUAAAAAGAAAGUUUCUCUUUUGAAUAUUGCCACAAGAAUAAUGGGUGGUCAGAAAUCUGGAACAGAGUAUCCUGAGAAUCUGCCCACCAUGAAGGCUACAGUUGAAAAUAAAGAUUCUGUUCUGAAUACAGCCACCAAAAUGAAGGAUGUACAAACAUCCACACCAGAAGAACAAGACUUAGAAAUGGCAUCAGAGGGAGAGCAAAAGAGGCUUGAAGAAUAUGAAAAUAACCAGCCACAGCAACUGGAUGAUGCUCGCAACAAAGCUGACAAUCAAGAAAAGGCAAUACUUAAUAUUCAAGCCAGAUGUGAUGCUAGAGUACAAAACCUUCAAGCUGAGUGCAGAAAGCGCCGUCUUUUACUAGAAGACAGUAAAAGGUUGGUAAAUGAAUUGAAUCAUUUGAAAGAAAAAGAACGCCAAUAUGAAAAAAAGCAAGCAGAAAGAGAACUUCAAGAAACACAGGAUCAACUUACAGCUACUAUAAGAUGUACUAAGGGGAUGGAAGGCGACGCACAAAAGCUUGAAGUAGAAAAUGCCAUGAUGAGAAAAACUAUUAAAAAACAGGAUGACCAAAUUGAGCGACUUGAGAAAAUCCUGCAGCGUUCAAGUUUGAUGCCACAGGUGUUCAAGAGCUAGAUGAAGAUAUCAACCUAUGAAUUGCCUCUACCAAAAAGCCUACAAUAUUGACACAAACCUGGGCUAGUAUCCCUUCUAUGUCUUCUAAUAAGUGCUGUCUUAUGCCUGUCACUGUAUGUAUGACUCUGUAUGGGAAUUGCCUGUUUGUUUUUUCAGAUUAUAGCAAACAGUUGUUGAGGGGUGGACCAUAUCAUCUUUAUCUUGUAAUUCCAGUGCUUGUCCUAGUACCUUAGCACAUGGUUGCUGAAUACAUGAAUGAAGAGUGAGAAACCAGAAGCUCUGAUAUUUAACUGCCGUGAUAAUGAAUUCAAUGUGCAACUAUGGGCAAAUUGUAUUUAAUAGUAAUUGCAUAUUGUACAUAUUUUUCAUUCUUAUUAACACUGAUAAACUUUUCAACUUAUACUGACUUUAAUAAAAUUGUAUUACUAGGCUAUUAACAUGAUAUUUUGUUUCCCAUUAAAUGUGACAUGCAAAGACGUUUAUUAAAUGAAAAUAUUUUUG